Molecule: non-coding RNA, 764 nt
Organism: Seriola aureovittata
Lineage: Eukaryota; Metazoa; Chordata; Actinopteri; Carangiformes; Carangidae
Source: the annotation of a RefSeq genome assembly
UGAAGAUUUUACCAGCUGUUUUUCACACAGGUCUGACCCCCUCUGAGGUCAUGGUGUAGGCCCACAGUUCAACAACAUGUAGUCAUGGCAACAUUUGGAUGUGCACAACAUAAUGUUUGUGAUAUUGUCUCAUCAGCUACAGGAUUGAUAAAAGCAACACCUCUAAACCUCCUACAGUCAGUUUGAUGACUGUAUUGAUAAAGAAACACCAUGUCAGGUAUUGUUCAUGUUAGUGAUUAACUGUAGGGGGACCUACAGCACCACCUAUACAACCAUGUACAUACAGAUCAUUUGAAUACAGUGACACUCCCACCUUCAACUCCUCAUGUCUCUGUAACUAAGAGACUCAGGCGGCUUCUGUCUCACAGAACAUGGACAUCAUCAUCAUCAAACAAGACCUCCUCAUAUUGUCAGUCUUUUUGCUGUGGACUUCAGGUACUACUGAUGGCAAUGAUGUUAACCAGACCCCCAUACUGUGGAAAGACAAGGGUGACAAUGCAACAAUACACUGCAACCACACCAAGGGUGCUGCCUACUCCCAGAUGUACUGGUACAGACAGCUGCCUGGAGAAAAUAUGGAACUAAUUGUGUUCACAACAACAUCUAAAAACGACUUUGGAGAUUUCGACAAAAAGAAAUUCUCAGCCACCAGACCUGGUGCUGAGAGCGGGACAUUCACAGUAGAGAAUCUGGAGCCUGGAGAUCAAGGCUUGUAUUUCUGUGCUGUGAGUCAACACAGUGAUACAGACACAUGUGGAAGCUGA